ACGCUCGACACCUACGGGAGGCAGCAGUGGGAAUAUUGGGCAAUGGGCGAAAGCCUGACCCAGCAACGCCGCGUGAGGGAAGAAGGUUUUCGGAUUGUAAACCUCUGUCCUCAGGGACGAAGGACGUGACGGUACCUGAGGAGGAAGCCCCGGCUAACUACGUGCCAACAGCCGCGGUAAUCUGAGGCGGGCUGGCAAGGC
RNAcentral lists this ribosomal RNA (201 nucleotides) under uncultured bacterium. Its description in RNAcentral is "partial 16S ribosomal RNA". It matches the Rfam family "Bacterial small subunit ribosomal RNA", at positions 328 to 539 of the family's 1533-position model. The record is from RNAcentral.